UUGAUCCUGGCUCAGUAUGAACGCUGGCGGCAGGCCUAACACAUGCAAGUCGAGCGGAAACGAGAAGUAGCUUGCUACUUCGGCGUCGAGCGGCGGACGGGUGAGUAAUGCAUAGGAAGUUGCCCAGUAGAGGGGGAUAACCAUUGGAAACGAUGGCUAAUACCGCAUAACCUCUUCGGAGCAAAGCGGGGGACCUUCGGGCCUCGCGCUACUGGAUACGCCUAUGUGGGAUUAGCUAGUUGGUGAGGUAAUGGCUCACCAAGGCGACGAUCCCUAGCUGGUCUGAGAGGAUGAUCAGCCACACUGGGACUGAGACACGGCCCAGACUCCUACGGGAGGCAGCAGUGGGGAAUAUUGCACAAUGGGCGAAAGCCUGAUGCAGCCAUGCCGCGUGUAUGAAGAAGGCCUUCGGGUUGUAAAGUACUUUCAGUUGUGAGGAAGGUUUCGUCGUUAAUAGCGGCGUUGCUUGACGUUAGCAACAGAAGAAGCACCGGCUAACUCCGUGCCAGCAG
Molecule: ribosomal RNA, 512 nt
Filed under: Vibrio sp. M5
Lineage: Bacteria; Pseudomonadati; Pseudomonadota; Gammaproteobacteria; Vibrionales; Vibrionaceae
Description: bacterial SSU rRNA
Rfam family: Bacterial small subunit ribosomal RNA
Source: RNAcentral